This 1696-nucleotide long non-coding RNA is filed under the name Ananas comosus (pineapple). RNAcentral describes it as "long non-coding RNA (ACOM_LNC035390)". The record is from RNAcentral. Lineage: Eukaryota; Viridiplantae; Streptophyta; Magnoliopsida; Poales; Bromeliaceae.
UGGGUGGUGACCAUCCCGAAGCAGUUGAACUCCUCCCUAUGUCUGAGUUAUACAUUGAUCAAUUUGCAUAUUGACAUCUUGCAUUAAGGGUGAUAGUUGAUGAUUGGUCCUGUAUAUAUAUAUAUAUAUUGCAUGCUUCUUGGUAGAAUAAUGUAUUUGGUUUAGCAAUUGUAUCUAGCAUGCUUGAGGUUUAUAUAUAUGAUGUGAAACCCUAUGAUAUCUGAUAAGUAUGGAUGAGAACCUAGUGUAUUACAAACUAGUGUAAUGAGAACGAGUGGCAUCUUGUUAACAAUGAAACCAGAACGAGUGGCAUCUAGCUAGUAUGAAAAUGAUAUUGAAAUUGAGAACCUAGUGUAGUCGAAACACUUGAGAUUGAGUAUUAGAAUACUUGAUACUAUGAUGACACCAACCUUAGUUGGUAGGAUGUUCCCAGUUCGUGAGAUUGAUCGAGCUCACAUAGCCUGUCUGCGCUUGUCGGGGUCGCUCCCCACAGGCNACCAGAACGAGUGGCAUCUAGCUAGUAUGAAAAUGAUAUUGAAAUUGAGAACCUAGUGUAGUCGAAACACUUGAGAUUGAGUAUUAGAAUACUUGAUACUAUGAUGACACCAACCUUAGUUGGUAGGAUGUUCCCAGUUCGUGAGAUUGAUCGAGCUCACAUAGCCUGUCUGCGCUUGUCGGGGUCGCUCCCCACAGGCUGUGUACUCCGGAGGUUGACACUCGAGGGGGCUAACGUAUUUGCCCUUGGACUAACGUAUCUGUCCGCAGGCGGUCUCGGGGGUAGUCGAGCAGCUGGACUUCGCCCCUAGGAGAUUUACGAAAGUGAGACUGAGAAUAUGAUUGGGUGACCUAAUGUAUAGUUUCAUUGUUGAGCAUAUUAGCAUGGUAGCUAGCCUUUCUAUCAGUUUCAUGCAUUCAUUAUAUCGGAUUGAGGCAUAGUUAGAUGUUCACAUUUGUACUUAUUAUCAUUACAGUAGAUGCUUUCAGUUACACCUAUCUAUCUAUCUACCUAUCUGUCUUCCUGUGCCUCCUUAGACCUAGUGGGGAGAUCGGCGGAGUCGGCGGCCGAACCCACUGGGAACUAUGGAAGAUAGUUCUCACCCCCAUUUUAUUACAGGACCGAGUUCGUGUGUGCCAGCUGAGGAUCGCGGUAAGGGCUUAGCGCCCUAGAGGUUGCAUUAGCUUACUUUCCUAUUUUGCAUUAGAGUUACCCUAUUUAUGUUUGAGAGUAGAUGAUGUAUAGGAUGUGAGCUAUUUCGAGAUGAAUGUAAAGUAAUAUUUAUACUUUGGAAAGAUGUAAGCUUUGUAUUAUGUUUUAGAAGCUUGAUGUAUGAUCAAGUUGUAAUAUAAUGGUUGAAUGGAUGUAAUAGGUAGAAUGUAUCUCUCUCUCUUUUAUUCACUUGUAUGUUGAUUACUCGUGAUGCUUACUCUUGAAUGCUUAGCACUGUUUGUGCUCUCGCUAUCGUUGUAUGAUCAUGUAUGUAAUCAAGUGUAUUUCCUGGGGACUUGUGUACAUGAUCUCGUCGCUUUUGCCUUGGGCGGACAGGGGAGACUCUGUCCGUUCGGCGUCCGUUCGCCGCGCCCGAUCCGGACCAAAUUGGUAGCGAGCUCGGGGCGGGGGCGUGACAGUUGUGGUAUCAGAGAGAGUUAAGAGCAAGCAAAGAGAGAGUCUAGGAUGGACCUAGGAAACCCUAAGACG